RNAcentral lists this long non-coding RNA (1951 nucleotides) under Canis lupus familiaris (dog). RNAcentral describes it as "lncRNA (ENSCAFG00000056081.1, ENSCAFG00845030874.1)". Lineage: Eukaryota; Metazoa; Chordata; Mammalia; Carnivora; Canidae. The record is from RNAcentral.
GAGCAGGCUCCCUGCAGGGAACCCAAUGUGGGACUCCAGGAUCACACCCUGGGCUGAAGAGAGGUGCUAAACCGCUGAGCCACCCAGGGAUCCCCAGUUUCUGAAAAAUAUUUUUGUCUUAAAAGUCAUCAAAGGUGAUCAUAGGAUUGUUUUACUUAUGAUUUUAAAAUUCAUCAGCAUUAAAAUAAUAAUAUAGACUUUCCCUCUACUAAUUCAAAAUUAUAAAAUUUGAAUAAGGGCUAACCUCACAUUUUCCUUUUUUUUAUUUAACCUCACAUACAUUUUCCUAUACUGACUAGAUCUUUCAUUCUUAAAUACUUGAAUUAAUACAGGCUACUAAUCCAUCAUCAGAAAUAAUUUAUUUUGAAAAAAAAUAAAGUGUGCUUUAUAUCAGUUCUUCAGUACAUUUUAUACUCCUGACCAGGUUGAAAUUUGCAUUAGACUGACAGUGGGCUGUUAGAGGUUCAUUUAAAUAGUGAGUUGUUCUAUUUCAAAGGAAGAAAGUAAUUUACCUUCUGUCAUUAUGUAUAUAAUAGAGAAAAUGUAAUUCACGAAGCACUUUAAAAUGUUAAAAAUUUAAUAGAAGUAUAUAAUAGAUAGUUUAUAUACUGAAAUCAUUAUGAUGGCCUUGUAGUCAAAUCUGUAGAAGACUUGUGUUGAAACUAUUUCUUUACAGUAUGUGUGGGCAGCCCUAGUCUGGCCUAAUCAUUAAGUACCAUUUGUUAAACACUUAUUAUGUGACAUUUGAAUCAGUAAUGCCUUCAUAUUUUCAAUUUGAGUUAGAUUCUAUGAACAGGAAUAUUUCAGAUUGCUGCUGUAAGUAAGUGGUGAUACCAGCAGGGAAGCUAAAGUCAGAAAUGACUAUUUUGCUUGUCUUAUCCAUGACUCUUAAAAUAUAACAUAUUAAGAUCAUUUCUGUCUCUACUGCUAAUGAGCUUUUUCAUCCAGGCAAAUCACUUCAAUUUUGGGGGCCUCAGUUUUCCUAUCUUUGAAACAAAGGGCAGACUAGUCUAUCUCUAAGAACUUUCCCAGCUCUAAAGUAGGAAGCUUCUGAGUACAAAACAAAUGUAUGUUUCUUCUGUUCAGAAGCUCGUUCCUAAUAACCUGAAUUUUCAUGUUGUUCAUCAAAUUCCCAUUCUUUGUCUCUUUGAGUAUUGCAUCUCUUCCAUCCAGUUGUCAUAUUAGAUUUAUGUCUUACAUUCUCAUUUUGUUUUAUGUGUCUAAUUUACUCUUUCAUAUUUUCUAUCUAUCCCUCUGUGCUGUAGCUAGGGGAUUUGCUUUGAAUCUUUUCCAGAUAAUGAAUUCCUUCUGCCAUUUUAGUUUACUGUUUACCUAUAUAUUCACUUUAAUGAAUAUUGUAUUUUUAGAAAAUUUCUAGAAUAUCACCGUUUUUCCCCCCAAAAUCCCUCAUGUGUUGUUCUUUCAUCAGAUAUUAGUUUACAUAUAUAUUUAAAUAUAGUUUAAACAUGUGGAGGUUUUUCACUUACACUGAUAAUAUGUAUACAGAAAAUUGCAUAUACAAUACAUGUGUAACCAGCAACGAAAUCAAGAAAUAGGAUAUUACUAGUCUAGCAAAAGCCUCCUGAAGUUCUCUUCCAGUCAUCAGCCACUGACCUUCACCCUACCACCAGGGAUAACCACUUCUAGCAUAGAUUAUUAAUUUGCCUUCGUGCUUUAUAUAAAUAGAAGUGUGUAAUAUAUACUCUUCGAUGCCUGGCCUCUUUUGCUCAAAAUUACAUUUGUGAGAUUCUGGGAUCUUGUAGCCUAUGGUUAUAAGUCAUUCAUUCUCAUUAUUGUUUAGUAUUCCAUGGUGUAAAUAUACCACCCUUUAUUGAUUCUAGUGAAUAAUGGGCACUUGAUGAGCUUUCAGCUUUGAGUGUUUGUUUUGUUUUUUUUUUUUUUUAGAAUUCCAUUAUAUUUCACUCAUUCUGUCUCAUUUUUGGCUUGUUCU